Molecule: long non-coding RNA, 2652 nt
Filed under: Olea europaea subsp. europaea
Lineage: Eukaryota; Viridiplantae; Streptophyta; Magnoliopsida; Lamiales; Oleaceae
Source: RNAcentral
UUCUGCAGUACACUUAUACGUGCCCGUUCUCUCUCCCUCUUUAAAUUUUCCUCUAUAUUUACUAUGGCUUUAUACCCAAAGCAAUCUACUAUAUUUUAUUCAAUCUCACAAGCAAUCAAGAGAAAAAUCUCAGCAAAACAAGUUCCCACAAUUUUUCUUUCCAAGUGCAUAUUAUAAUAUAAGAUUCAUUACGUAAGGUGAGAUGCUCAGUGCUAUUAGUGAUUUUUUUCCACGUCUUUAAAAUGUGCUGUUAUGUGUGAAUUUAAUUACUUCAGUUCAUGGUUCCUUGGGGAGAAAUCAUGAUACAUUUUAAGGCACAAUUUAACUUUUACGUUAUUUUUGCAAUGCUUGCUAGAUUAUUAUUUCUCAUGGUGUAAUUAUUCUCAUUUUAUGUUGGUAAGAGAAUUUAUGCAUAAUUUCAUAUUUGAUUUAAAUGUGGAGUACCAAGCAUCUCAUUGAGUAUAAUUCGUUAUACACAUCCCUCUUUAUUUACAAGUUUCAGGUAAAAAUAAGUAUGAUGGACGACAAUGGAUGGAUAUGCUAUUAGACUAAUAGAUUCUGAUCAUGAUGUACUUUAAUUUUUGAGAACAUUAGAAUUUUAAAUAACAUUUUAUUAUUUUAUUAUUUAUUAUUUUUUGUUUUUAGACUGAAUUGUGAGUGACGUUAUAUUUUUCAAUUAGUCCUAAUUUCAUUGUCUGUUAGAACUAGUCUUUAUUAAUGGUUGAUGAAGGAUAUGAUUUCAAAACGUUCUACAUAUUUUAUUAAAUUUAAUUUAUCUUUUGUUAAAGGCUAUUCAAUUUUACUAAAUUUCUCAUUAUAUUAAAAUUAUUUGCUUCAAGCACUUUGAUAACUUCAUGUUUCGUAACGUUUCGGGUUGCUAGAAUUCGGGGCGUUACAAACAAGAAUUUCAUGUAUUGUCACGUUAUUUAAUUACAUUGAAACAGAUUGAUAAAGGGCAUUCGAGGUCUCAGCAACAUCUCAUGUAAAUUUACAAAACCUUCAUAAUUUGCGCACUAAAAUUCUUAGUUUAAUUAGAUUAAAUCGUAUAAAUUCUUCAAACACAAUUGGAUAUUUGAUUAGAGCUAGAAUUGAUUGACCCUUGAUUAAGUACAUAGUCUUCUUAAGAAUGAUAUCCUAUUUAUCACUUUAGUACGUGUUUGCAACACUGUACACUUGCACAAAAAAUCGAACAAUCAAGUUUUUAGCAUCGUUAUGGGGGACUAUUAUAAUUAAUUAGUUUUAGUUACCUUUAGCUUUAAUUUGAAUUUUUUUUUCUUUUCAGUUUCAGUUUCAUAUUAAAAAAGUACUAUAGAGCUUUAUUUUUUUAUUUUUAAGAUGUACUAUUCGAGGCACGAUGAUCAUGCUCAAUUUGAUCUAGAAAUCGAACGAAUAUUCAUGUUAAGAAGAAAAGAACGGAUAGAAGCACAACAAAAAUGGCAAGUAAAACUAGCGGCAAAAAAUAUACUAUAUCAAUUAGUUGUUGAGAUGAUUAUAAAUAUAGCACAUCCGAUCGUAGCUACGAGUAGUAAGAAUCAGAGACUAAUGAGAGAUUACAUUGUUCCACUGGUCGUGGAAAGCAGACCAGACAUAGCCUAUCCAGCAUUCAGGCAAGCAAAUUUUCACUUAAGGACGGAUGUAAUAAACAUGCUCCAAAUUGUGUUGCAAUUAUUUGGGAGACCAAUUGAUAAUCCAAAUGUUUAUAUCUCCAAAAUUUUGGAUAUGUGUGCAAUAAUUGAAUAUCCAAGGGUUUUUGGUGAUACAAUUUGACCGAGGCCCUUUUCUUACACUUUGAGAGAUUUUUCAACCAAACGGUUUGACACGUUCCUACUUCACAGCAUCACCUUGAGACAAUUUGAGCCAGAAGAUCUUCAAUAAAUAUUUCCCACGAAAAAUGAUUGCCAAGUUUAGAGAUGACAUCACUACAUUCUCACAACUUAAUUCAGAGUGCCAUUAUGAUGUAUUGAAAAGAUAAAAAGGUUUGCUUUGAAAAUGUCCACAACAAGGGUUGCAAAAGUGGCUACAAGUCCAGUUCUUUAAAAAUAUCCUGACUCCGACUAGUAGGAUAACGUUGACUUUGCAUGUGAUGGGUCAAUUACGAGAAAGACAACGGAUCAGGUGUUUCAGACCAUGGAAGAUCUAGCAUAUACCAGUGGACUAUGGCCAGCAGAAAGAUCGGGAGGAAAAAGAGCUUCAAGAAUGCAUUAGGUUGACUCAAUGGUUGCCAAGGACAGAUAUUUAUAUAGAUAUAUAUUUUGUUAAUCGUAAUUUGUUAGCCCACCAACAAGUAAUUUCAAAUGGGUUUUUCCACCUACAAUUCCUCAAAUGAUAUUUUGUUUCGAUCUUUAGCCCACUUAUUUAUAUAAUUUUUAGCCCAUUUUUUUACCACAAACUUAUUUAAUUUGUUCCAAUAGAUUCAAUACCCACUUCUUUCCAUCUUUCUUCACGUAAUCACGUUCCCUUGCAAAACCAAUUGAAAUAAUUCUUUCAACUUUGGGGUUUAUUUUUGUUAUUCAGAAAAUGGGUUUUUAGUGUUUUGGAUUUUUUUGUUUAAUUAGCUUGUAGGUGAAUCAUUUUGAAGUACAGUGUUAUUUGCUAAGAAGAGGGUUCAAAGGCUGUUGAACUAGUUGAGGAGGUUCAAGGUUGGUUCCUUGA